This 433-nucleotide ribosomal RNA is filed under the name uncultured bacterium. RNAcentral's name for it is "partial 16S ribosomal RNA". It matches the Rfam family "Bacterial small subunit ribosomal RNA", at positions 29 to 507 of the family's 1533-position model. The record is from RNAcentral.
AACGAACGCUGGCGGCAUGCCUAACACAUGCAAGUCGAACGAGACCUUCGGGUCUAGUGGCGCACGGGUGCGUAACGCGUGGGAACCUGCCCUUAGGUUCGGAAUAACUCCCCGAAAGGGGUGCUAAUACCGGAUAAUGUCUUCGGACCAAAGAUUUAUCGCCUUUGGAUGGGCCCGCGUUGGAUUAGCUAGUUGGUAGGGUAAAAGCCUACCAAGGCGACGAUCCAUAGCUGGUCUGAGAGGAGGAUCAGCCACACUGGGAGUGAGACACGGCCCAGACUCCUACGCGAGGCAGCAGUGGGGAAUAGUGGACAAUGGGCGAAAGCCUGAUCCAGCACUGCCGCGUGAGUGAUGAAGGCCUUAGGGUUGUAAAGCUCUUUUACCCGGGAUGAUAAUGACAGUACCGGGAGAAUAAGCUCCGGCUAACUCCGUG